GUAAUUGCGUUGAAGAGGAGCAGUAAAUAGAAGUUUAAUUUAAAGCGAUUUAGGGAGAGUGUGAGCCUAAAAUUUAAAACUAUUGAAGGAAACCUUGGAGCAAUAAAAUUAAAUAAGUAUUUGAGUGGGUUAAUUCUUAUUAACCAAUUUAGGUGGUAACGCGGAAGUACGUCUUUCGUCCUAUAU
RNAcentral lists this non-coding RNA (186 nucleotides) under Clostridium sp. RNAcentral describes it as "T-box sequence". It matches the Rfam family "T-box leader". Rfam says of the family: Uncharged tRNA acts as the effector for transcription antitermination of genes in the T-box leader family. T-boxes are found upstream of many aminoacyl-tRNA synthetase genes and some amino acid biosynthetic genes usually in Gram-positive bacteria. The anticodon of a specific tRNA base pairs to a specifier sequence within the T-box motif, and the NCCA acceptor tail of the tRNA base pairs to a conserved bulge in the T-box antiterminator hairpin. The record is from RNAcentral. Lineage: Bacteria; Bacillati; Bacillota; Clostridia; Eubacteriales; Clostridiaceae.